RNAcentral lists this transfer RNA (77 nucleotides) under Chloroflexota bacterium. Its description in RNAcentral is "Chloroflexi bacterium tRNA-Pro". It matches the Rfam family "tRNA". From Rfam's summary of the family: Transfer RNA (tRNA) molecules are approximately 80 nucleotides in length. Their secondary structure includes four short double-helical elements and three loops (D, anti-codon, and T loops). RNAcentral also lists the same sequence under 1 other name. The record is from RNAcentral. Lineage: Bacteria; Bacillati; Chloroflexota.
CGGGGUGUAGCUCAGCCUGGCAGAGUGCUUGGUUUGGGACCAAGAGGUCGCGCGUUCAAAUCGCGCCACCCCGACCA